GAUGAACGCUGGCGGCGUGCCUAAUACAUGCAGGUCGAGCGAACAGACGAGGAGCUUGCUCCUCUGACGUUAGCGGCGGACGGGUGAGUAACACGUGGAUAACCUACCUAUAAGACUGGGAUAACUUCGGGAAACCGGAGCUAAUACCGGAUAAUAUAUUGAACCGCAUGGUUCAAUAGUGAAAUACGGUUUUGCUGUCACUUAUAGAUGGAUCCGCGCCGCAUUAGCUAGUUGGUAAGGUAACGGCUUACCAAGGCAACGAUGCGUAGCCGACCUGAGAGGGUGAUCGGCCACACUGGAACUGAGACACGGUCCAGACUCCUACGGGAGGCAGCAGUAGGGAAUCUUCCGCAAUGGGCGAAAGCCUGACGGAGCAACGCCGCGUGAGUGAUGAAGGUCUUCGGAUCGUAAAACUCUGUUAUUAGGGAAGAACAAAUGUGUAAGUAACUAUGCACGUCUUGACGGUACCUAAUCAGAAAGCCACGGCUAACUACGUG
RNAcentral lists this ribosomal RNA (497 nucleotides) under uncultured bacterium. RNAcentral's name for it is "partial 16S ribosomal RNA". It matches the Rfam family "Bacterial small subunit ribosomal RNA", at positions 28 to 507 of the family's 1533-position model. The record is from RNAcentral.